GCCGAAGUGGCGGAAUUGGUAGACGCGUUGGUCUCAAAAACCAAUGGGCUUUUAGUCCAUGCCGGUUCGAUUCCGGCCUUCGGUACCA
Molecule: transfer RNA, 88 nt
Filed under: Candidatus Margulisiibacteriota bacterium
Lineage: Bacteria; Bacillati; Candidatus Margulisiibacteriota
Description: tRNA-Leu
Rfam family: tRNA
About the family: Transfer RNA (tRNA) molecules are approximately 80 nucleotides in length. Their secondary structure includes four short double-helical elements and three loops (D, anti-codon, and T loops). Further hydrogen bonds mediate the characteristic L-shaped molecular structure. tRNAs have two regions of fundamental functional importance: the anti-codon, which is responsible for specific mRNA codon recognition, and the 3' end, to which the tRNAs corresponding amino acid is attached (by aminoacyl-tRNA synthetases). tRNAs cope with the degeneracy of the genetic code in two manners: having more than one tRNA (with a specific anti-codon) for a particular amino acid; and 'wobble' base-pairing, i.e. permitting non-standard base-pairing at the 3rd anti-codon position.
Source: RNAcentral